GGGAAUCUUGCAAUUGAUGUUGACGAAGCUUUAAUCUAUUAUGAUUUUGGUAUGAUGGGAGACAUCAAGAAUUUCACAAGAGAGAGGUUGCUGGGACUUUUUUAUUCUGUCUACGAAAAGGAUGCAAAAAAGGUUAUGCAAGGGCUUAUUGAUCUGGAAGCACUUCAGCCCACAGGAGACAUGUCAGCUGUGAGGAGAUCUGUUCAGUUUUUCUUGGACAACUUGUUGAACCAAAGACCAGAUCAGCAGCAAACUUUGGCUGCAAUUGGUGAGGAUUUGUUUGCUAUAGCAACUGAUCAACCAUUCCGUUUCCCUUCCACUUUUACAUUUGUGCUCAGGGCAUUUUCCACACUAGAAGGGAUUGGCUGUAUAUUGGAUCCUAAUUUCUCCUUCCCUAAGAUUGCAGCACCAUAUGCACAGGAGCUCUUGGACUUGAGACAGCAGCAGCGCAGUGGUCC
RNAcentral lists this unclassified non-coding RNA (458 nucleotides) under Hevea brasiliensis (rubber tree). Lineage: Eukaryota; Viridiplantae; Streptophyta; Magnoliopsida; Malpighiales; Euphorbiaceae. The record is from RNAcentral.